Molecule: ribosomal RNA, 438 nt
Filed under: uncultured bacterium
Lineage: Bacteria
Description: bacterial SSU rRNA
Rfam family: Bacterial small subunit ribosomal RNA
Source: RNAcentral
GACGAACGCUGGCGGCGCGCCUAACACAUGCAAGUCGAACGAGCGAGAGAGAGCUUGCUUUCUCGAGCGAGUGGCGAACGGGUGAGUAACGCGUGAGGAACCUGCCUCAAAGAGGGGGACAACAGUUGGAAACGACUGCUAAUACCGCAUAAGCCCACGGUGCCGCAUGGCACAGAGGGAAAAGGAGCAAUCCGCUUUGAGAUGGCCUCGCGUCCGAUUAGCUAGUUGGUGAGGUAAUGGCCCACCAAGGCGACGAUCGGUAGCCGGACUGAGAGGUUGAACGGCCACAUUGGGACUGAGACACGGCCCAGACUCCUACGGGAGGCAGCAGUGGGGAAUAUUGCACAAUGGGGGAAACCCUGAUGCAGCGACGCCGCGUGGAGGAAGAAGGUCUUCGGAUUGUAAACUCCUGUUGUUGGGGAAGAUAAUGACGGUACC